Molecule: long non-coding RNA, 835 nt
Filed under: Anas platyrhynchos platyrhynchos (common mallard)
Lineage: Eukaryota; Metazoa; Chordata; Aves; Anseriformes; Anatidae
Description: lncRNA (ENSAPLG00000030963.1)
Source: RNAcentral
AUUUCACACAGUAUUGAAUUCCAGACAGUAACAGGGUCAAAGUGGUCAACAUGAAGAUUUCAGAAAAACAAUUUGUUCACGUUAGAGACUUCCCAUAAAACAGACAAGUCUCUCUUUCAAUGUCAAAUGUGUAAUGACUUACAUGAGUACAAAUGGAAUAAAAUGAUUACUAAAAUCCCUAUAUUGGAGCCUUUUGUAUUGGCAUGGCAGUGAGGUAAAUCACUUGUAAGGUGCUGGGGAUUAGGAAUCAGUAUCAGGGCUGCCGCUCGUGUCAGGUUCACUUUCUAAACACAGAUGUCAGUACAAAGAUCUUUUUCUGGCAGCAACAUAAUGACUCUUUGCAUCUGUGCUAAUACUGUUAUGCCAGGGCCAAGUAAAGAAGAAAAAUAAAAUUGGCAGAGAGAAAUGUCUUCAAGCAUCAUAGAUGGUUUUGAGAUCUUCUUUCACAUCAUCCUAAUGAAGUCUUAGUAAGAACAACCUAAAAAAAAGCACUGCAACUACAGGUCCAGAACAACUGUGGUGUGUCUUAGUGAUGCCUCCCAGUUCAUAUGAGGAAUGCACGACGGCCUUUCACGCUUGUAGGCACAGGCUUCAAUACAAAAUUUUUUGUCUCUGCAGGGACUAUCCACCAGAGAGAUAUGCAGAAAAGCUCCAGGGGAAAAGAAGUCACAGCUGGCUGUGUCUGAAGGAGAAUAAAUUCACUUGGAGAAGGCCAUGGCCUGGCCAGCUAAGUCAGUCAGCACAUGAUGACAACAGAGGUCCUGUGAUGAACUUCUCCACCUUUUGUAUGCCUUGCUUCCAGGCAGGGGAUAUCCCAUCCAGGAGACCAAUUUAG